This 427-nucleotide ribosomal RNA is filed under the name uncultured bacterium. Its description in RNAcentral is "bacterial SSU rRNA". It matches the Rfam family "Bacterial small subunit ribosomal RNA", at positions 355 to 774 of the family's 1533-position model. The record is from RNAcentral.
UGGGGAAUUUUGGACAAUGGGCGCAAGCCUGAUCCAGCCAUGCCGCGUGCAGGAUGAAGGCCUUCGGGUUGUAAACUGCUUUUGUACGGCACGAAAAGGUGCCUUCUAAUAAAGGGCGCCCAUGACGGUACCGUAAGAAUAAGCACCGGCUAACUACGUGCCAGCAGCCGCGGUAAUACGUAGGGUGCGCGCGUUAAUCGGAAUUAAUGGGCGUAAAGCGUGCGCAGGCGGUUUUGUAAGACAGAGGUGAAAUCCCCGGGCUCAACCUGGUAACGGCCUUUGGGACGGCAAGGCUGGAGUGCGGCAGAGGGUGAUGGAAUUCCGCGUGUAGCAGUGAAAUGCGUAGAUAGUCGGAGGAACACCGAUGGCGAAGGCAAUCCCCUGGGCCUGCACUGACGCUCAUGCACGAAAGCGUGGGGAGCAAACA